RNAcentral lists this ribosomal RNA (559 nucleotides) under uncultured Thelephoraceae. Its description in RNAcentral is "eukaryotic LSU rRNA". The stretch from base 130 to 288 matches the Rfam family "5.8S ribosomal RNA". The record is from RNAcentral. Lineage: Eukaryota; Fungi; Basidiomycota; Agaricomycetes; Thelephorales; Thelephoraceae.
ACCUGUGCACCCUCUGUAGUUCUGCGGUCUGGGGGGACCCCUCUCUUCCGUCUGCGGUUCUGCUUCUUACNCAUCUACACUGUAACGCGUUUUUAUGGAAUGUACGCAGCGUUUAACUCAAUACAAUACAACUUUCANCAACGGAUCUCUUGGCUCUCGCAUCGAUGAANAACGCAGCGAAAUGCGAUAAGUAAUGUGAAUUGCANAAUUCAGUGAAUCAUCUGAAUCUUUGAACGCACCUUGCGCCCUUUGGCUAUUCCGAUAUGGGCAUGCCUGAUUUGAGUAUCAUGAACACCUCAACUCUCGUGGUUCGCCAUGAUCGAGUCUUGGACUUUGGAGGCUUUGCUGGCCUGUGGUCGUGCUCCUCUCAAUAUGAAUCAUCUUACCGGUGUAUUGGUGGCGUCAUCAGGUGUGAUAACUAUCUACGCUUGCGGUCGUCUGCCAUACUAUACCUCUGGCUAUCGUCAGAGGUUUGCCGGGGGCUCAUAAACGUCUCCCGAGUGAAGACAGCCUUCUGAACGUUUGAUCUCAAAUCANGUAGGACUACCCGCUGAACUUA